CCUACGGGUGGCAGCAGUGGGGAAUAUUGCACAAUGGGGGAAACCCUGAUGCAGCGACGCCGCGUGAGUGAAGAAGUAAUUCGUUAUGUAAAGCUCUAUCAGCAGGGAAGAAAAUGACGGUACCUGAGUAAGAAGCCACGGCUAACUACGUGCCAGCAGCCGCGGUAAUACGUAGGGGGCAAGCGUUAUCCGGAUUUACUGGGUGUAAAGGGAGCGUAGACGGCAGUGCAAGUCUGGAGUGAAAGGUGGGGGCUCAACCCCUAGAGUGCAACUGAUACUGUAUAACUUGAGUGUGAGAGAGGGAAGCGGAAUUCCUAGUGUAGCGGUGAAAUGCGUAGAUAUUAGGAGGAACACCAGUGGCGAAGGCGGCUUUCUGGCUCAUAACUGACGCUGAGGCGCGAAAGCGUGGGGAGCAAACAGGAUUAGAUACCCUUGUAGUC
RNAcentral lists this ribosomal RNA (440 nucleotides) under uncultured bacterium. Its description in RNAcentral is "partial 16S ribosomal RNA". It matches the Rfam family "Bacterial small subunit ribosomal RNA", at positions 338 to 795 of the family's 1533-position model. The record is from RNAcentral.